CUUCGGGGUGGACGCUCGUGGAACGAGCGGCGGACGGGUGAGUAACACGUGGGCAACCUACCUGUGAGACGGGGAUAACUCCGGGAAACCGGGGCUAAUACCGGAUAACGCAUCGAACCGCAUGGUUCGAUGAUCAAAGAUGGCUUCUCGCUAUCACUCACAGAUGGGCCCGCGGCGCAUUAGUUAGUUGGUGAGGUAACGGCUCACCAAGGCGACGAUGCGUAGCCGACCUGAGAGGGUGAUCGGCCACACUGGGACUGAGACACGGCCCAGACUCCUACGGGAGGCAGCAGUAGGGAAUCAUCCGCAAUGGACGCAAGUCUGACGGUGCAACGCCGCGUGAGCGAUGAAGGUCUUCGGAUCGUAAAGCUCUGUUGUGAGGGAAGAACAAGUGCCGUUCGAAUAGGGCGGCACCUUGACGGUACCUCACCAGAAAGCCCCGGCUAACUACGUGCCAGCAGCCGCGGUAAUACGUAGGGGGCAAGCGUUGUCCGGAAUUAUUGGGCGUAAAGCGCGCGCAGGCGGUUCCUUAAGUCUGAUGUGAAAGGCCACAGCUCAACUG
This 562-nucleotide ribosomal RNA is filed under the name Alkalibacillus almallahensis. RNAcentral's name for it is "bacterial SSU rRNA". It matches the Rfam family "Bacterial small subunit ribosomal RNA", at positions 72 to 615 of the family's 1533-position model. Lineage: Bacteria; Bacillati; Bacillota; Bacilli; Caryophanales; Bacillaceae. The record is from RNAcentral.